UCUCCUUUUCUUGAUGGGGACCAGUCAUGUGGUCCCGCCUCCUGUUAUGUGCAGAGGCAGAGAGAAAGGGCUGUGGCCCUCCAGGCUUCACGUCUUCAGUGCCGGCAGCUUCCCGUCUUCCGAUUGUAUCCUCAAACACCAGGACACGC
Nannospalax galili (Upper Galilee mountains blind mole rat) is the source of this 149-nucleotide small nucleolar RNA. The record is from Ensembl. Lineage: Eukaryota; Metazoa; Chordata; Mammalia; Rodentia; Spalacidae.